This 2345-nucleotide long non-coding RNA is filed under the name Olea europaea subsp. europaea. The record is from RNAcentral. Lineage: Eukaryota; Viridiplantae; Streptophyta; Magnoliopsida; Lamiales; Oleaceae.
UUAGUGUUCACUGUAAAAAAUUUGAAAGUUUACAAUGCCCUAAAACGUGGCAUUUCAUCCACCACCGCUACGUCAACUCCGCCUUUCCACGACUUUGCCAGGCGUCUCAGCUCUGGGACGAUUCACGAUUAGACGACGACACUACACGGCCAGUCUUCUCAAUCUCUGCCAUUCAAUCUUCUCGAUCGCGAGAUCUGUUGCAGGCCAGGCCUUGCAGUUCCGCCCCUGUACAAACCUGUAUUAGCCUUUUAAUUUAUAGUUUCAUCUGUGAAAUGGCGUUGAAAUCCUGGUAGAUGGCUUCAUCUUCUCUAAUCUUUGAAACCGAACCGUGGAAGGAUUUGACGGUAAAUUCAAAAUUUCAACUCUUGGCAUUUUUCGAUUUGAUUUAGCUGUGUCUAUUUAUGUGGUGUACUUGUGCAUUUUCACGCACAUGUUGAGGACAUUAAGAAAACCCAUUUGCGUGAAUUGUUGUCUGAAAUCGAGUGAUGCAAGUCUAUGAUUGUGUAUGAUAUUUGGAAGAUUGAGUUUAAGAUUGGGCUCUAUAUAGUUACAUGUGUUAAUUUUUAUCUUUUCCUUCUGGGUGCAGCGAAUUUGAUAGAAUUUUGUUAGACAUGUAACUAUUGGAAAUCUUUUUGCUUGUUUUGGUUGAUUUAAUUUUUGGGUUUUUGGAUUUUGAGCAUUAUCAUGAUCAUUGAAGUGUGUUUUUCGGGGAUCUGUGAUGGAAAUAGGGGAUUUUAUAUGGAUAGAUUGAAUUAUAACUUCUUGGACGAUAGUACUAGCUGUUUUAUUGUUAUAUUUAUACUUAACCUGAAUAAUUGACGUUUUAUUUCGAUCAUUUCUUAUAUGCAAGAUUAAAUAUGUGAUGGGUGAAUAUGUAAUUAGUGUAUCAAACAUUUAAAGGAUUUCAAUCAACUCCACUAACUGGGAAAUUUAGUUUUUCCUUUUGUCAUAUGGUCAAUACAUAGAGGGGAUAACUUUUUGUGAGAUGUGAUAGACCUUCGAUAACUGUGGACUUGUCGUUCAAUUUUGGCGAAACUAUGCUUAUGUGGUAUUAUAUAUCUUGGUCAGUAUAAUAUUGACACUGAAAAAUUGUCUGGGAAUUCACUUUGUUAGUCAAUAGAGAAAUAGAUUUAGGACCUAAUGAUCUUGUUCCAGCUCUAAAUUGAUCUGAUAUUUGUCGUUUCCUGAAGCUGAAGAUCAUUAGCAAUCUAGUCUCUUUUAAAGCAGUGGAAGAAUAUGCCUCUGACAGGCAAGGAUGACCAAAAACCGGCUCUUGAUGUUGAUGCUUCGAUGUUCAAUAUCGUUACUUCUGUUGGACUUAUUAUUGUAAAUAAAGCUUUGUUGGCUACAUAUGGAUUUACUUCUGGUACGUUAUUUUUGCCUGUUCCGUUCAUGUUUCACUUAAUAUUCCUGGUAGCCUCUUUUUUUUUUUUUUUUUUUUGAACCUACCAAAUGAGCCACGAAUAUAAAUGAAAAUUGUUUGCUUGUUUGUGUUCGGUUAAAAGUUGUAGCUCUGAUCACUAUGGAUGAUUUGAAAAUUUCAAUAAUUAGCACUGCCAAGCCAACUGAAUUUAUGUACAUUUUGCAAAUCAUUGUGUAUGCAUUAUUCUUUAUUUAGUCGAGUGAUCCUUGGGCAGUGAUAAGUCAAAAACUUAAUUGGAAUAUUUGCUGCUUAAUUUUUUGAAGUUUCAAAAGUUAAACUUCCUGUUUAAAUAUGAACUUCCUAACUUGGCCUAUCUUCCUCUUUAAGGGCAAUAUGCUGCUGUGUUUUCAAAAUAGAUUGGUUCGCAAGCAAAUAAAUCUCAUGGCAUUGCAAAAGCUUGCUUAUUAAAAUUGAUUAUUCAUGUUAAAACUUUUCAUGAUGACACUCCGAGAAUAUGAAUUUGAUGUUGAUAGCUUUAUUUCUUUGCUUUGUUAGGAACUGGACUUGAUGUUUGUCACUUGGUAUUUAUUUUAAAAAGGUACACCAUGAUCAGUUACUUUUUCUCUUUAUUUUUUAUUUCAGGACUCCUCAGCCUCACAAACUAAAAUAAAGCUAUGGCAUCCGCGAUCUGGUAUCCACUGACCCUGUUACAAGCUGCAAAACUGGUCCAAUGCUUACUUGCCAACAAGAGAUCACCAUGAUUGUGGGAUGUCUUCAAUAUGGGUCGAUAUUUUGUACUAUUUUAAUAAAUUAUUUUUGGAGUGGUAAUCGAUACUUUUGGUAUAUUGACAUCAACUUUUUGAAUAGGCUAAUGAUGUUCUUAGUAAUCAUUUAGAUUAACCCUACAUUUUUGGUAUAUUGUAUUUGAUUGCACUUAAUACUAUUAUUUAUUGAAAUUAUGGAAAACAUGAUUAUAUUAUAU